AUUGCUACUUCAGAUUUGUUAUUUCGAUUUUUGCAACCGUUUGGUUUCCACAGUCCAUGCUUCUUUAGCUUACAGGUACUUACAUUUUCUGUCACAAAUAAUUCAUUUUAAUUAGAUAUUGAUGGUGUAGUUUGAUUUAAAACUUGGUGGUGCUUGGACAAGUAAUAUCUAUAUUCACCUCCUCAUUCCCCCAUUCUUUCUAUUUCACACGACGACAACUUUUUUCUUUUUCUAUGUGGGGAUACAUAUUUAGUGUUAUCUUUUUCUAUCACUAAGCUCUCACAAUUUUCACAAUAUAUGUUACUGUUUUCAAGCAACGAGCAAGUAGAGUAGCAGCUCUCAAUGAAAGAUUGAUUGGAAUCAAAGUUGGUGACUUUUGCCAUGUUAAAGAAGGGCUUCUGCUUGGGAAGCUUUAUGGGAACCGAUUUACUAUAACACUUCAGUAUAGUUAUGCUUCAAUAUUUCAUUUGUCCAUUUCUUGUGGGGCUCCAGACAGUACAUGAAUACCAUUUUUCUUUCUUUGCUCUUGUUUAUUCUUUGAAGUAUGAUUGUAAAGCUUGCUGAUUAUAUGACAUGUUAUGUGAUGGGCUGAAACUGAAAUCUUUUCAGGGGAGUGUCAGGUACUUUGUAAUAUGCAGAUCUUUUUAUCUUGGUUAGGUGGAUAAGUUAACUUCACUCUUCUUGAAAUCCAGUCUAGGCCUUUCAAUUGUUGUUCUUCAUAAGGAUCUCUUUCAGAAGAGCUUUUACAGAAAUACCUGCAACCUUAUUUUGCUUCAGAGAAACUCACUAAUGCAUGUUCCUUUCUUCCUCUUCCAAUGUCUCAGUCAUAUGUGUAUAUGAUUCCCUGACAGUACAGUUAAUUCAUAAGUAUGUCAGCAUGUGGGAUAAAUAUGAGCUACAAUUUGAAAUUACUGUUAUGCUUGGGGCUUAUCUUAGUCGUGCACUUCAUGGCAUUUUAAUGACCAACAAAAAGCCCAUACUUGACAUGGUUGUGCAGUGUUAUCUGGUACCUCGUCAUGUAAAUCAAGCAAUUCAGCAUACAAUGCUAAGCCAUGGCAAACUCAUGAACUUGAUGGUAAGGGAAGAAAUAGGCUAAGAUGGGUACAAAGCAGACACAUGGUUUAUAACUAUUGUGCUGAUUCUAAGAGGUUUCCUCAAGGUUUUUCUGCUGAGUGCAAGAGUUCAAGAUUUUAGGAUAUGAGAGUGUGAAAUUUUUUAUUCUUUGUACCAAUAAAAGUUCUGUUUGGUUACUAAUUUUGUUGCUGUGUAACUGGUAUUCAAGUUUAUCCCGUUUUCUUUGAUAUUCUUACUUGAUGAAGUAGUGUAUGAGUAAUUAAUUUCUGACUAACUGUAAAAUUUUCUACAUUUGUACUUACAGGUAAGUAUUGCUUAGUCAACAACAGGUCGUGGAUUUUAAGCAAGUUGAUUCCCACGUCCACCAAUUCAAGGAUAUGGCAUCUAAGGGGAAGGGAAAAAUGAAAUCUAAGAAGAAAAAACAACUUGUUCCAACUUCCUCAACUAUGCCAAAUAUGAGUCAUCCUCUUCCUCAUCCUCCUCAGUCGACUUCAUUGCCAUCUACCAUAUUCACUAUCCCCCCUCCAUCUAAUAAUUCAGUUCAGUAUUAUUCUAUGCCUGCUAAAGGCAGUCAAAGUAACACCGUUUUUAACUUUGUACCCACACCUUCUAUACCAUUAUCUUCACCGGGCUUUCAUGGUAGUCAACAUGGUGGCUCACCAGUUGUUGCACCCUCGGUCUUUUAUGGUUGUCAACAUACUGACUCACCAGCUGCUGCACCCCCGGGCUUUCAUGAUAGUCAGCAUAUUGGCUCACCAGCUGCUGCACCCCCGAGCUUUCAUGGUAGUCAGCAUACUGGCUCACCAGCUGCUGCACCCCCGAGCUUUCAUGGUAGUCAGCAUGAUGGUGCGUCUUUUGUUGCUCCAUCAUCUUCCAAUCCAUCAUCAUCAUCCAUUCACAGCAUAUCUAGGUUGGAUAUUGGAGGCUCUCGCCCAGCUACAUCUGGUGCUGCUUCUGCACCAUCUCGUAGACGCAGGCAGAAUCUUGGAGGGGAUGUACAAUUUGAUAGUUAUAAUCGAUUGAUAAUCGUCCCCCACAAGAAUGGGUUUUUGCCAUCCUUUCAAGCUACACAUAUGGUUACAGAUUCUAUGAAGCCAUUUUAUCAUGAGCCGUGGACUUCUUGGAAAAAGAUACCGUACAGCAUCAGAGAGCAAAUGUGGAAUCAAUUUAGGACAAGGUGUACAUGGAAUCCUCAGCAUCAAAAUGCAAUAAAUAGUAUUUUUGAGAAGAAAGUUGGUAUAAGGAUUAAAGAUACUAUGUGCGCUUCUCGGAAUUCCGGUAAAAUGCCGGAUUGGUUAAGAAAAGAUGUUUGGGAUAAACUUCUUGAGAAAUGAAAUACCCCAGAAUGGAAGGCAAAGAGUGAACAAGCAAAGGCAAACCGUGCCUCUAAAAAAGGUGGCUUGUUGCACAUAGGAGGUUCGAUUACUUUUGAGGCCCAUAAACUAAGAAUGGAAAAGGAAAGAGGGCGAGAUGUGACUUACGUUGAUGUCUUCGAGGAGUUGCAUAAGAAAAAGAAAAAGGAUGGUACAAGAUAACACUGGGUGGAGACGCGUGUGUCAGACACAUGAAGAUUAUCAUAAAAGGUUGGAAGAAUGGCAAUAAACUCAGCCUCCUUCAACUCAACCAACACCUGAUGAUAUGGCUUCAUUGUGGACAGAGGCAGCGGGCGGAGCAAACAAAGGUAGAGUCUACGGACUAGGAGUACAUCGACCUACAGGUCAUCCAAACCCACUCUUAGACAAUUCUUCUCCUCAAAAUCAAGAACAGAUGGAAGAUGUGAGAAACAAAAUUCGUGGAUUGAAGCAACAAUUGGACUCCCAAAACGGAACAUUUGUUAAGAUGCAGAAAUUCAUGCGUAAACAUGGGUUUGAUUUAUCUGAUGAUGAGGAUGAACAAACUGAAUCUGAUGUGUAGUAGUUUAGUUGUGAUGUUUUGGUUGAUUGGUAAACUUGAUUGUGAGAGACAACUUUAUGUAUUGCUUUUAAACUUGAAUAUGGGCUGCUAUUUGGAUG
This is an RNA transcript of Nicotiana attenuata, 3086 nucleotides long. It is a transcript of the gene named flocculation protein FLO11-like, with no coding region annotated. The transcript has 7 exons. NCBI's taxonomy places the organism in Eukaryota, Viridiplantae, Streptophyta, Magnoliopsida, Solanales, Solanaceae. The record is from RefSeq and is a predicted model, not a curated record.